UAGGGAAUCUUCGGCAAUGGGGGGAACCCUGACCGAGCAACGCCGCGUGAGUGAAGAAGGUUUUCGGAUCGUAAAGCUCUGUUGUUAAGGAAGAACGAGUGUGAGAAUGAAAAGUUCAUGCUGUGACGGUACUUAACCAGAAAGGGACGGCUAACUACGUGCCAGCAGCCGCGGUAAUACGUAGGUCCCGAGCGUUGUCCGGAUUUAUUGGGCGUAAAGCGAGCGCAGGCGGUUAGAAAAGUCUGAAGUGAAAGGCAGUGGCUCAACCAUUGUAGGCUUUGGAAACUGUUUAACUUGAGUGCAGAAGGGGAGAGUGGAAUUCCAUGUGUAGCGGUGAAAUGCGUAGAUAUAUGGAGGAACACCGGUGGCGAAAGCGGCUCUCUGGUCUGUAACUGACGCUGAGGCUCGAAAGCGUGGGGAGCGAACAGG
This 429-nucleotide ribosomal RNA is filed under the name Bacteroidota bacterium. RNAcentral describes it as "Bacteroidetes bacterium partial 16S ribosomal RNA". It matches the Rfam family "Bacterial small subunit ribosomal RNA", at positions 355 to 776 of the family's 1533-position model. The record is from RNAcentral. Lineage: Bacteria; Pseudomonadati; Bacteroidota.